GCCUGGCUGGCUCAGUCAGUAGCGCAUGCGACUCUUGAUCUCAGGGUCGUGAGUUCAAGGCCCACGUUGGGCG
Molecule: transfer RNA, 73 nt
Filed under: Felis catus (domestic cat)
Lineage: Eukaryota; Metazoa; Chordata; Mammalia; Carnivora; Felidae
Rfam family: tRNA
About the family: Transfer RNA (tRNA) molecules are approximately 80 nucleotides in length.
Source: Rfam by way of RNAcentral